RNAcentral lists this ribosomal RNA (440 nucleotides) under uncultured bacterium. RNAcentral describes it as "bacterial SSU rRNA". It matches the Rfam family "Bacterial small subunit ribosomal RNA", at positions 338 to 795 of the family's 1533-position model. The record is from RNAcentral.
CCUACGGGAGGCAGCAGUCGGGAAUUUUGCGCAAUGGACGAAAGUCUGACGCAGCAACGCCGCGUGAGGGAUGACGGCCUUCGGGUUGUAAACCUCUUUUGUCAGGGACGAUGAUGACGGUACCUGACGAAUAAGCCACGGCUAACUACGUGCCAGCAGCCGCGGUAAUACGUAGGUGGCAAGCGUUGUCCGGAUUUACUGGGCGUAAAGAGCGCGCAGGCGGUCGUUCAAGUCGCGUGUGAAAGCCCCCGGCUCAACUGGGGAGGGUCACGCGAUACUGAUCGACUCGAAGGCAGGAGAGGGUAGUGGAAUUCCCGGUGUAGUGGUGAAAUGCGUAGAUAUCGGGAGGAACACCAGUGGCGAAGGCGACUACCUGGCCUGUUCUUGACGCUGAGGCGCGAAAGCUAGGGGAGCAAACGGGAUUAGAUACCCUUGUAGUC